RNAcentral lists this ribosomal RNA (957 nucleotides) under uncultured bacterium. RNAcentral describes it as "bacterial SSU rRNA". It matches the Rfam family "Bacterial small subunit ribosomal RNA", at positions 53 to 1005 of the family's 1533-position model. The record is from RNAcentral.
ACAUGCAGUCGAGGGGCAGCAUAAUGGAUAGCAAUAUCUAUGGUGGCGACCGGCGCACGGGUGCGUAACGCGUAUGCAACCUACCUUUAACAGGGGGAUAACACUGAGAAAUUGGUACUAAUACCCCAUAAUAUCAUAGAAGGCAUCUUUUAUGGUUGAAAAUUCCGAUGGUUAGAGAUGGGCAUGCGUUGUAUUAGCUAGUUGGUGGGGUAACGGCUCACCAAGGCGACGAUACAUAGGGGGACUGAGAGGUUAACCCCCCACACUGGUACUGAGACACGGACCAGACUCCUACGGGAGGCAGCAGUGAGGAAUAUUGGUCAAUGGACGCAAGUCUGAACCAGCCAUGCCGCGUGCAGGAUGACGGCUCUAUGAGUUGUAAACUGCUUUUGUACGAGGGUAAACGCAGAUACGUGUAUCUGUCUGAAAGUAUCGUACGAAUAAGGAUCGGCUAACUCCGUGCCAGCAGCCGCGGUAAUACGGAGGAUUCAAGCGUUAUCCGGAUUUAUUGGGUUUAAAGGGUGCGUAGGCGGUUUGAUAAGUUAGAGGUGAAAUUUCGGGGCUCAACCCUGAACGUGCCUCUAAUACUGUUGAGCUAGAGAGUAGUUGCGGUAGGCGGAAUGUAUGGUGUAGCGGUGAAAUGCUUAGAGAUCAUACAGAACACCGAUUGCGAAGGCAGCUUACCAAACUAUAUCUGACGUUGAGGCACGAAAGCGUGGGGAGCAAACAGGAUUAGAUACCCUGGUAGUCCACGCAGUAAACGAUGAUAACUCGUUGUCGGCGAUACACAGUCGGUGACUAAGCGAAAGCGAUAAGUUAUCCACCUGGGGAGUACGUUCGCAAGAAUGAAACUCAAAGGAAUUGACGGGGGCCCGCACAAGCGGAGGAACAUGUGGUUUAAUUCGAUGAUACGCGAGGAACCUUACCCGGGCUUGAAAGUUAGCGACGAUUCUUGAA